UCAAUGGCCGCGGUACCCUGACCGUGCAAAGGUAGCAUAAUCACUUGCCCCUUAAUUAGGGGCUGGCAUGAAAGGACACACGAAAGCUUCCCUGUCUCACAAUAACAAAUAAAAAUUAAUCUUCAAGUGAAAAAGCUUGAAUAAAAUUGCAGGACAAGAAGACCCCGUUGAGCUUUAUUCUCUAUAGACUAAAUCAAAUAUUAAAUACAUCAUAAACCUAAAAAGAAUUUAGUUGGGGUGACUAAGGAACACCGAAAACUUCCUUUUAUUAAUUAGGAUCAUUCUCCAUACAAAUUGACCCAUUACACAUGAUCAAAAAAAUAAGCUACCACAGGGAUAACAGGCUAAUCUUUCUCAAGAGCCCAAAUUGUCAGAAAGGAUUGGCACCUCGAUGUUGGCUUAGGGGCCCCUAAUGGUGCAGAAGCCAUAAAUGGUAGGUUUGUUCAACCUUUAAAACCCUACGUGAUCUGAGUUCA
RNAcentral lists this ribosomal RNA (476 nucleotides) under Lamellibrachia anaximandri. RNAcentral describes it as "partial 16S ribosomal RNA". It matches the Rfam family "Bacterial large subunit ribosomal RNA", at positions 1924 to 2613 of the family's 2925-position model. Lineage: Eukaryota; Metazoa; Annelida; Polychaeta; Sabellida; Siboglinidae. The record is from RNAcentral.